GAUGAACGCUGGCGGCGUGCCUAAUACAUGCAAGUCGAGCGAACGGACUAGAAGCUUGCUUCUCUGAUGUUAGCUGCGGACGGGUGAGUAACACGUGGAUAACCUACCUAUAAGACUGGGAUAACUUCUGGAAACCGUAGCUAAUACCGCAUAAUAUUUUGAACCGCAUGGUUCAAAAUUGAAAGACGGUCUUGCUUUCACUUAUAGUUGGAUCCGCUCUGCAUUAGCUAGUUGGUAAGGUAACGGCUUACAAAGGCAACGAAGCAUAGCCGACCUGAGAGGGGGUUCGCCAAAAUUGGACUUGAGAAACGCUCCAGAUUCCUAGGGGAGGCAGAAGAAGGGAACCUCGGGAAUUGGGGGAAAGCUUGCCGGAGAAACGCGGCGUGGGGGAUGAAGGUCUUCGGAUGGAAAGACCUUGUUAUAAGGGAAGACCAGUUGUGUAAGUAACAGUGCACACCUUGACGGUACCUAACCAGAAAGCCACGGCUAACUACGUG
RNAcentral lists this ribosomal RNA (497 nucleotides) under uncultured bacterium. RNAcentral describes it as "partial 16S ribosomal RNA". It matches the Rfam family "Bacterial small subunit ribosomal RNA", at positions 28 to 507 of the family's 1533-position model. The record is from RNAcentral.